GUAGGGAAUCUUCCACAAUGGACGAAAGUCUGAUGGAGCAACGCCGCGUGAGUGAAGAAGGUCUUCGGGUUGUAAAGCACUUUUGUCCGGGAAGAAAUCUUCCAGGUUAAUACCCUGGGAGGCUGACGGUACCGGAAGAAUAAGCACCGGCUAACUACGUGCCAGCAGCCGCGGUAAUACGUAGGUGGCAAGCGUUGUCCGGAAUUAUUGGGCGUAAAGCGCGCGCAGGUGGGAUCUUAAGUCCAUUUUGAAAGUUCGGAGCUCAACUCCGUGAUGGGAUGGAAACUGGGAUUCUUGAGUACCGGAGAGGAAAGCGGAAUUCCCCGUGUAGCGGUGAAAUGCGUAGAUAUGGGGAGGAACACCAGUGGCGAAGGCGGCUUUCUGGACGGUGUCUGACACUGAGGCGCGAAAGCCAGGGGAGCGAACGGGAUUAGAUACCCGUGUAGUCU
This 449-nucleotide ribosomal RNA is filed under the name uncultured bacterium. RNAcentral's name for it is "partial 16S ribosomal RNA". It matches the Rfam family "Bacterial small subunit ribosomal RNA", at positions 354 to 796 of the family's 1533-position model. The record is from RNAcentral.